This 492-nucleotide ribosomal RNA is filed under the name uncultured bacterium. Its description in RNAcentral is "partial 16S ribosomal RNA". It matches the Rfam family "Bacterial small subunit ribosomal RNA", at positions 29 to 507 of the family's 1533-position model. The record is from RNAcentral.
AGUGAACGCUGGCGGUAGGCCUAACACAUGCCAGUCGAACGGCAGCACAUUAAGAGCUUGCUCUUACGGGUGGCGAGUGGCGGACGGGUGAGGAAUACAUCGGAAUCUACUUUUUCGUGGGGGAUAACGUAGGGAAACUUACGCUAAUACCGCAUACGACCUACGGGUGAAAGCAGGGGAUCUUCGGACCUUGCGCGAUUGAAUGAGCCGAUGUCGGAUUAGCUAGUUGGCGGGGUAAAGGCCCACCAAGGCGACGAUCCGUAGCUGGUCUGAGAGGAUGAUCAGCCACACUGGAACUGAGACACGGUCCAGACUCCUACGGGAGGCAGCAGUGGGGAAUAUUGGACAAUGGGCGCAAGCCUGAUCCAGCCAUACCGCGUGGGUGAAGAAGGCCUUCGGGUUGUAAAGCCCUUUUGUUGGGAAAGAAAAGCAGCAGGUUAAUACCCCGCUGUUCUGACGGUACCCAAAGAAUAAGCACCGGCUAACUUCGUG